Molecule: long non-coding RNA, 1390 nt
Filed under: Carassius auratus (goldfish)
Lineage: Eukaryota; Metazoa; Chordata; Actinopteri; Cypriniformes; Cyprinidae
Description: lncRNA (ENSCARG00000023764.1)
Source: RNAcentral
GUUCAGAUGACACUCCUCCAGAUAUUAUUCCUGCUUGAUUCAAAACUUAUUCUCGACUGUGAGGAUGAGAAUAUUACAGCUUCACAACAAAACAAAACAAGACGGUCUGGCUGCAGACAUAUGGGCGAGUGGAGCUCCACUCAAGAACGGAAAUACGUCACCUCCACUAGCGACGCCGCCGCCAUGUUGGACCGGGCCACACUUUCCGUAGAAUUAUGUCGCCUCCACUAAUGACGCGGCCGCCAUGUUGGUCCGGGCAACACUUUCCGUAGAAUUACGUCACCUCCAUGGGGGCGAGUGGAGCUCCAAGAGCGAAAAUACGUCACCUCCAACUUUCGUUUUGUAUUAUUACUUGUUAUAUACGUGUAUAAAGGGUGCUUUGCAAGAUAUGUCACCUGUUUGUACGCAAUGUUAAUAUGUUCUGUACUUUUAUCUUUGUUACUUUUACCUAGUAGAAAUAAUAAAAAUAAUAAUAUACUAAUCUUUUACGGUUUAUGACAGGACAGCAAUUUUUUUAUUUUAUUUCCCCCCAGCAAUUUGCACUACAGACAUCCACAAUCCAUAUUUUAGGGCUUCUGCCUUUUGUUCAUGUUUGUUUUACCAAUGUACAACUGCCAAUGUAACAUUAGAAAGUUAACCUUAUGUUUGUAAUAUUUAGCAGUGAAAAAAUAAUGAAAUAUUAAAUAAAUUAUUAAAAUAAUACCUCAUCAAGAAUUUUCUGUGCUGAAUUUUGUAUUUUAAUUAAAAUAACAACAUAUUCAAAAUAAACACAGUAAAAUAAUGAAGAAUAACUUCCACAAUUCAGAAGUUUUAAUGGUUUUUGAGUAAUAAUAAUAAUAAUAAACACAUCUUACACUACACUGAAAACACAUGAACUGCAAGUGACCAUAAUUGUUACAGUAAAAACACAAUGUGUGCGCACGCACGCACGCACACUUUACUCUUCAAGACCUCCAUCGUCUGUGAAGCAAUCCCAGCUACAGUAGCCAGGGUGGUCAUCUGAGGAGUAAAACCCCAAAAGCACUCCCUGUUGUCCAAUUUCUCUGGUGCUUCUGAUGGAAGCGUAAGUCACUUUAUCAUCACAGCGAACCUGAAUCACCAUCACAGUCUCUGUUUCAACCCACAGUUAUUACAGAAUGAGGUUUGAGCUCAAUUCAAGACAGAUUUAUAUAAGAAUAAAACUAAUACAGGUCAUGUAGAGGGAAGAUCAAGAAGUGUUUGCUCACCUUGUUCUUCUUGGCUCUGUUUUUACUGCACACAGUAACUUCAGUAUAAGUCACAUCAUCUGUCUUCUCCUAAACACGAGUGAAAAUACAUCAGAUCAAGCUGUUAAAGACUCAUCCAUCACUACUGUGUGAAGAAGACUCAUUAUUCUACUGCAAUCAUACAA